RNAcentral lists this ribosomal RNA (439 nucleotides) under uncultured bacterium. RNAcentral describes it as "partial 16S ribosomal RNA". It matches the Rfam family "Bacterial small subunit ribosomal RNA", at positions 338 to 795 of the family's 1533-position model. The record is from RNAcentral.
CCUACGGGAGGCAGCAGUGGGGAAUAUUGCACAAUGGGGGAAACCCUGAUGCAGCAACGCCGCGUGAGCGAUGAAGGCCUUCGGGUCGUAAAGCUCUGUCCUAAGGGAAGAAUACUGACGGUACCUUAGGAGGAAGCCCCGGCUAACUACGUGCCAGCAGCCGCGGUAAUACGUAGGGGGCUAGCGUUAUCCGGAAUUACUGGGCGUAAAGGGUGCGUAGGCGGCCCUUCAAGUCAGAGGUGAAAGGCUACGGCUCAACCGUAGUAAGCCUUUGAAACUGUAGGGCUUGAGUGAAGGGGAGGGGGGUGGAAUUCCCGGGGUGGGGGGGAAAGGCGUAGAUAUUGGGGGGAAAACAGGUUGCGAAGGCGGCUCUCGGACUGUAACUGACGCUGAGGCACGAAAGCGUGGGGAGCGAACAGGAUUAGAUACCCUAGUAGUC